This 543-nucleotide ribosomal RNA is filed under the name uncultured Glomeromycotina. Its description in RNAcentral is "SSU rRNA". It matches the Rfam family "Eukaryotic small subunit ribosomal RNA", at positions 552 to 1096 of the family's 1831-position model. The record is from RNAcentral. Lineage: Eukaryota; Fungi; Glomeromycota.
AGGGCAAGUCUGGUGCCAGCAGCCGCGGUAAUUCCAGCUCCAAUAGCGUAUAUUAAAGUUGUUGCAGUUAAAAAGCUCGUAGUUGAAUUUCGGGGUCAGCAGGUUGGUCGUGCCAAUGGUAUGCACUGGCCUUGCUGAUUCCUCCCUCUUGAUGAGCCGUAAUGCCAUUAAUUUGGUGUUGUGGGGAAUCAGGACUGUUACUUUGAAAAAAUUAGAGUGUUUAAAGCAGGCAAGCGCUUGAAUACAUUAGCAUGGAAUAAUGAAAUAGGACGUUCGAUCCUAUUUUGUUGGUUUCUAGGAUUGACGUAAUGAUUAAUAGGGAUAGUUGGGGGCAUUAGUAUUCAAUUGUCAGAGGUGAAAUUCUUGGAUUUAUUGAAGACUAACUACUGCGAAAGCAUUUGCCAAGGAUGUUUUCAUUAAUCAAGAACGAAAGUUAGGGGAUCGAAGACGAUCAGAUACCGUCGUAGUCUUAACCAUAAACUAUGCCGACUAGGGAUCGGAUGAUGUUAAUUUUUUAAUGACUCAUUCGGCGCCUUACGGGAA